This 240-nucleotide unclassified non-coding RNA is filed under the name Hevea brasiliensis (rubber tree). Lineage: Eukaryota; Viridiplantae; Streptophyta; Magnoliopsida; Malpighiales; Euphorbiaceae. The record is from RNAcentral.
UCUGGUUUCUUCUCUGUACUUCCAUUGGUAACAAAAGAUAAACAGUCAGCCAAGUUCAAUACCAAGUUAUUGCAGUCUACUGCCGGAGCAGGGGCAGAACGAGAGGCUGAUUCUACACUUGUACAAGAAAAAAACAAAAUUGAAAUAAGGCAAAAUAGAGCAAAUGAGUUCAUUUUGGAAGUAGACAUAGUUUCAGGAGAAAAAAGAAUGGAGAAAAUUUUCACAACUUUUCAAUUUUGG